This is a long non-coding RNA of Cyprinus carpio carpio, 2947 nucleotides long. The record is from Ensembl. Lineage: Eukaryota; Metazoa; Chordata; Actinopteri; Cypriniformes; Cyprinidae.
UGGAUACUUCUAACAUAAAUAUAUUCAUGAUUCAUGAAUCACCUGGGUGUGUGAUGGUACAUGAGUCCUAACAGGCAGCCUAUUUAUUUUUUACAGAGACAUGAGAAGCAACAAAUAAUUUAAUAGAUGCAUUGGUGGCACAGAAGGUUUGAGGCAGUUUAUGCAAAGCUGUGAAAAGAGCGUGCAUUUUGAAUGACAAAUAAUAUGCUUCGCUAUAAAUGCAACACGACACAAUGCGAUUUGGUUCAGUGAGAAGGCUGUGAUACGCUUAUGAGAUCACUGACUAAAAUCAGGACAGAAAUCAUGCUGACUAUUCUUCUGAUUAUGGCAAUGAUUGGCCAAGGUCAAUCAUGGGACAGCCUUGGAACCAGCUUCAUAACAAUAUUCCCAGAGAACAUAGCCUUCUACUAUCCGCUUAGUCCAGUGAACGCUCUCAAUAUCACUGCUGUCCUUCCCGACACUGUGGUGGAAGUCUUUAUCUCAGGGCAGUUGCCUUACACAUACACACUACUAGAAGGACAGCCCCUAACUGUGACCUUCUCAGUGGGUAUUGAGGAAUACCAAUUUGGUGAAAUUUCUCAGACUGUCAGAAUCAGCAGCACAAAGAACAUUGUAGUGCAAUCAAUCAGCAAGAAAGGAGACAGUGUGCAAACUAAUGUCAUUCAGCCUCGGAAAAACCUUGGUACAGUUUAUACCAUCCCCUUGCUGAAUUACAGCCAGAUGAUCAAUACUUUUUAUCAAUCAGCAAGAAAUAUCAGCAAGAGAUACAACUCCUUCAGGCUGGUUAUUAUCAACGGAGAAGAUUUGAUUAAUAAUGUCAAAAUUGUAAAAAGGUCUAUAGAAGAGAUUUACACACUCAGUCCGUUCACCGCUCUCCAGCUUAAAACUGACGGGACAGAAACUAAGAUUUAUUCUGAUUAUGGAGUGGCUGUGAUGCUGACCCAUCCUUGUGUAGAGACGGAUGAAUGCAGAUGCAACAUGGUGCUGAGCCAACUUUAUCCUGACGUUCAGGAGGAUAGCAGAUUUGUUGUACCCUCAAUACCCAACACCAGCAACUUUUGGCUACAUGUGACGUCCUCAGUGGAAACCAGUGCCAGUGGUGGGGAUCUAGAAUCGAGUACUGUGGAUGCCUAUUCCUCAAAACUCCUGUCCCUUCCAUCUCUGUACUUAGGAUCCCAGUUCAUCCACACAUCGAAUCCUGCUUCCCUCAGGCUUGUCAGUCCAGGCAUCAUCAUUGAACCGAUCUCACAAUAUAGGUUCUCUGGGUGCUACCUAGUAACUGUCAGCUCGACAGAUGCCAAGGCCUUAAUCAUUGCAGAAACAUACUACAGGGAUAGUGUGUAUAUAGAUAAUGAUUUGCUUUUAUCCACUGAAUGGAGCACCAUCGCCAAUUCAGUGUACUCAUCGGUGUUAGUGUCUUUUGAUGACACACACGUCAUUUGGCAUCCAUCCACAAAGAUCGGCGUGUACGUGUUUGAGAAGAGCACAAAUGUGUAUGGAGGCCCGGCUAUAUCUUUAAGCGCAAAGCCAGACCCUUCAGGCUGUGCAGUUGUUCCUCCUGAGUUUGACAUCAUCGUCACGCCUCAAACCUGGCCUGAAUCCCAUCAGCACUGUAAGCUCAUAAGUGACGAGUUAUUCAGUCCCAGCAAUGAAGACGCCCAAGCGGAGAUGGCCGACAUUCUGAAUAAUGAAGGUAUGAAUGAGAGGCUCUGGAUUGGCGUGCGUCGCAGUCUGAUGACGUUAGAUUGGUACCGGCAGAAAGGUAAAAGCUCACACAACUUGACAUACACUUGGUGGGGAACCGGAGAGCCAGGUGAUGCUGCAAAGGGCAUGUGUGCUUCGGUAUUCCCAAACCCAAGCAUGGAUUUCCUUUGGGAAACUACAAACUGUUGUACUAAAUUGAAAUCUAUCUGCUACACAAGGGCUCAGUACUUUACCAUCUCAAAAGAGACAGCUAAGCAUUCUAAUGCUUAAAAAAAUGAAGGUUAAUAAUAAAAACUGGCCAGGGAAAACAAGUUGCCACAAGUUUAUGGUAAAAAAGAGGUUGACUUUUUGUUUCUUUAUAGUUUACAAUUUAUAGCUGUAUACAUUAAAUGAUAUAUUGUUAAUAUGCAAACCUCAUUAAACCUCAUGUUGUGUUCAUUGGACUAAAACCUACUGAUUUUGCUCACACAGGGUAUAACAACUUCUUCAAAAAAAAACAAUACAAAAAUAUAUAUACCCUCCACCUUGUAAUGUGUCCAGGUCGUUUGACCGAAAGCUUGGUAAUUAAAUUUGUGACAAGGAUUCAAGUGUGCAGACAGUUUAUUUUUUGAGAUUUUCAGUCUUGUUUGUCUGGCACCUUGGUGAUCGUGAGUGCGGUGUAACUCCUUCUAAAAAAUGUGUCAGGGUCUAAAAUGACCGGCCUACAAAAAUUGCUUAUAAAUUUCUCGUUAGGCUUUAUGGAAUUCAAUUCUUUUAUCAACUUGUUUUCUUUCACUUAGCACAGGUUUUGAAUUUCUUUUUGGAACUGAUCGAUCAUAGGCCUCAUUGAUCUAAGUUUAUGAACCUCAGUUUUUGAAUGAAUAUUGCCCAAAUUAUCCACAAGUAAUGUGGAGGUGCAUAAACUUAAAGCCUGUGAUCAGUCGGUUCCAAAAAGAAAAAACAAGUUGACAAAAGAUUGAAUUCAGGUUUUGGUGAUAAUAUAGCUUAACAAGAGAUUUAAAAGUAAUAUUUUAAAGGCUGGUCAUUUUUGAGCAUUUUUAACACAGCACAAGGGUUAAACCAAAAUAACUCUAGUUUAUGCUAGUAAAUAAGACAGAAUAAAGAUGUUAAAUCACAUAGAAGUAGACGUGAAGUUGUUUUGUCACAAAUACCUUCAGAAAGUUCACAUUGCUAUUAUAACCAUGAAUACUGUAUGCAACCUAGAUCUUAUUCACAAUGUUCAUACUGUUUAUCUAGAAACAUG